This 19-nucleotide ribosomal RNA is filed under the name Philotrypesis longicaudata. Its description in RNAcentral is "partial 28S ribosomal RNA". Lineage: Eukaryota; Metazoa; Arthropoda; Insecta; Hymenoptera; Pteromalidae. The record is from RNAcentral. RNAcentral also lists the same sequence under 2 other names.
GACGACCUCAGAUCAGGCG